This 496-nucleotide ribosomal RNA is filed under the name uncultured bacterium. Its description in RNAcentral is "partial 16S ribosomal RNA". It matches the Rfam family "Bacterial small subunit ribosomal RNA", at positions 28 to 506 of the family's 1533-position model. The record is from RNAcentral.
GAUGAACGCUGGCGGCGUGCCUAAUACAUGCAAGUCGAGCGAACAGACGAGGAGCUUGCUCCUCUGACGUUAGCGGCGGACGGGUGAGUAACACGUGGAUAACCUACCUAUAAGACUGGGAUCACUUCGGGACACCGGCGCUAAUACCGGAUAAUCUAUUGAACCGCAUGGUUCAAUAGUGAAAGACGGUUUUGCUGUCACUUAUAGAUGGAUCCGCGCCGCAUUAGCUAGUUGGUAAGGUAACGGCUUACCAAGGCGACGAUGCGUAGCCGACCUGAGAGGGGGAUCGGCCACACUGGAACUGAGACACGGUCCAGACUCCUACGGGAGGCAGCAGUAGGGAAUCUUCCGCAAUGGGCGAAAGCCUGACGGAGCAACGCCGCGGGAGUGAUGAAGGUCUUCGGAUCGUAAAACUCUGUUAUUAGGGAAGAACAAAUGUGUAAGUAACGAUGCACGUCUUGACGGUACCUAAUCAGAAAGCCACGGCUAACUACGU